CAGAGUCAGCUAAAAAAGCUUUUGGGCCCAUACCCCAAAAAUGUUGGUUCAACACCUUCCUCUGCUAAU
Molecule: transfer RNA, 69 nt
Filed under: Microlophus koepckeorum
Lineage: Eukaryota; Metazoa; Chordata; Lepidosauria; Squamata; Tropiduridae
Description: tRNA-Met
Source: RNAcentral